GGAAGCAUGGCCGAGUGGACUAUGGCACCUGUUUUGAAAGCAGGCGAGGGAAAUCCUCCGUGGGUUCGAAUCCUACUGCUUCCGC
RNAcentral lists this transfer RNA (85 nucleotides) under Microbacterium phage A3Wally. RNAcentral's name for it is "tRNA-Ser". It matches the Rfam family "tRNA". From Rfam's summary of the family: Transfer RNA (tRNA) molecules are approximately 80 nucleotides in length. Their secondary structure includes four short double-helical elements and three loops (D, anti-codon, and T loops). Further hydrogen bonds mediate the characteristic L-shaped molecular structure. tRNAs have two regions of fundamental functional importance: the anti-codon, which is responsible for specific mRNA codon recognition, and the 3' end, to which the tRNAs corresponding amino acid is attached (by aminoacyl-tRNA synthetases). tRNAs cope with the degeneracy of the genetic code in two manners: having more than one tRNA (with a specific anti-codon) for a particular amino acid; and 'wobble' base-pairing, i.e. permitting non-standard base-pairing at the 3rd anti-codon position. Lineage: Duplodnaviria; Heunggongvirae; Uroviricota; Caudoviricetes. The record is from RNAcentral. RNAcentral also lists the same sequence under 1 other name.